Molecule: small RNA, 81 nt
Filed under: Flavobacterium tiangeerense
Lineage: Bacteria; Pseudomonadati; Bacteroidota; Flavobacteriia; Flavobacteriales; Flavobacteriaceae
Description: Flavo-1 RNA
Rfam family: Flavo-1 RNA
Source: RNAcentral
AAUGAGCGUUAAGGAUGGAAGCGGCAUCCUUUGCUUUUUUUCUUUAAAAAAGCAAAGAUACAGCGCACAGCCUGACCUGAC